Haliotis rubra (blacklip abalone) is the source of this 194-nucleotide long non-coding RNA. RefSeq lists it as uncharacterized. The record is from RefSeq and is a predicted model, not a curated record. Lineage: Eukaryota; Metazoa; Mollusca; Gastropoda; Lepetellida; Haliotidae. The transcript has 3 exons.
UUUGCUCAUGCAUGAUUCUUGUUUACUUAACAGACUGAUAUCAGCAGGUGUAAUAACUAUAUCACCUAGUGUUAUAGCAAUGAUAUCACCAGGUGUAAUAACUAUAUCACUGAGUGUUAUAGCAAUGAUAUCACCAGUCAUAACACAGCAUAUAACACCAAGUAUUAUAGCCAUGAUAAAACAGAUGUAAUAUC